This 250-nucleotide ribosomal RNA is filed under the name uncultured Chroococcidiopsis sp. RNAcentral describes it as "partial 16S ribosomal RNA". It matches the Rfam family "Bacterial small subunit ribosomal RNA", at positions 796 to 1044 of the family's 1533-position model. The record is from RNAcentral. Lineage: Bacteria; Bacillati; Cyanobacteriota; Cyanophyceae; Chroococcidiopsidales; Chroococcidiopsidaceae.
CUAGCUGUAAACGAUGGAUACUAGGCGUUGAGAGUAUCGACCCUCUCAGUGUCGUAGCUAACGCGUUAAGUAUCCCGCCUGGGGAGUACGCGCGCAAGCGUGAAACUCAAAGGAAUUGACGGGGGCCCACACAAGCGGUGGAGUACGUGGUUUAAUUCGAUGCAACGCGAAGAACCUUACCAGGGCUUGACAUGUCCGGAACCCUGCCCAAAGGCGGGGGUGCCUACGGGAACCGGAACACAGGUGGUGC